UACGAAGGGGGCUAGCGUUGCUCGGAAUUACUGGGCGUAAAGGGCGCGUAGGCGGACUGUUUAGUCAGAGGUGAAAGCCCAGGGCUCAACCUUGGAACAGCCUUUGAUACUGGCAGUCUUGAGUACGGGAGAGGUGAGUGGAACUCCGAGUGUAGAGGUGAAAUUCGUAGAUAUUCGGAAGAACACCAGUGGCGAAGGCGACUCACUGGCCCGUUACUGACGCUGAGGCGCAAAAGCGUGGGGAGCAAACAGG
This 253-nucleotide ribosomal RNA is filed under the name uncultured bacterium. RNAcentral describes it as "partial 16S ribosomal RNA". It matches the Rfam family "Bacterial small subunit ribosomal RNA", at positions 524 to 776 of the family's 1533-position model. The record is from RNAcentral.